UACGUAGGGAGCAAGCGUUGUCCGGAAUCAUUGGGCGUAAAGCGCGCGUAGGUGGCCUCAUAAGUCCGUUGUGAAAGUCAAAGGCUCAACCUUUGAAAGCCGAUGGAUACUGUGAGGCUAGAGUCCGGAAGAGGUGAGUGGAAUUCCUGGUGUAGCGGUGGAAUGCGCAGAUAUCAGGAGGAACACCAAUAGCGAAGGCAGCUCGCUGGGACGGUACUGACGCUAAGGCGCGAAAGCGUGGGGAGCGAACAGG
RNAcentral lists this ribosomal RNA (253 nucleotides) under uncultured bacterium. RNAcentral describes it as "partial 16S ribosomal RNA". It matches the Rfam family "Bacterial small subunit ribosomal RNA", at positions 524 to 776 of the family's 1533-position model. The record is from RNAcentral.